Drosophila nasuta is the source of this 1737-nucleotide long non-coding RNA. RefSeq lists it as uncharacterized. The transcript is spliced from 3 exons. The record is from RefSeq and is a predicted model, not a curated record. Lineage: Eukaryota; Metazoa; Arthropoda; Insecta; Diptera; Drosophilidae.
GCUUUUGAUCACAAGAAAUUUAUUGAUCUAUUAUUUUAAUUUUUUUGUUGCUUUUUUUGUUUGUUUUAAUAUUGUGAUGUGAGUUCAGUGCGUGUAUCAAUAUAUUCAUUAUUAUAUUAUUAAAUAUAUAUAAUCGGUCGGUUAUUUGGUAUUCGCUGAAAUGUUAAAAUCGGAUCGCGAAAUCGGAUCGGGGAAUGCAUUUAAAUCGGUCGGUAAAAUCGUAAAAUCGGAUCACGAAAUGCGUUUAAAUCGGAAAUCCCCCAUAAAGAGAAAUUCAUUGAGACCCUGUAGUGCAUUAUUUGCUUGUUGGGCCAAUGAUUGAGCUGUUUCCGGGCAUUUAUUGUCAUAGUAACAUAAUUGUCAGCUCUUAGCAGUGCAUGUGGAGCGACCUCACACAUUGCUAUAUUUGGCAAAUCUCAAGAUCUGCACAAUACUUGCCAUUGCAUAGAGGAAGAAACAACUUCGAGGAAUGUGCUGAAUAAGAACAGAACGAGAUCGAGAGAACAACUCAAUCAAUGCAGCAAAUGCAAACGCUGCCUGGAGAGUUCGUCUUUAAGCCAACUGUCAAAACUGUGUUGGUCAGACAAUUGAGUUGAGUUGAUGACUCAAUGUUUGUCCUUUUAGGCCGCCACCCUGGGCGCAAUAGUCAAAACAAGGAGCAAUUGAAGAAAACAGCAGCGUGCACACACGUGGAUUGUGGAUUGAAUUUACCAUCAUCCAAGUGACAAACAUGUGCAGCCAGACUUCUAGUUUUUGGAGAUGGAGGAGCACGAGAAAUAGUAACAAAAAACAGAUGUUUGCCUUAUGUGUUUGUUUUUUUUUGUCUCUUCGAAAAUUAUGUAAAUGAGUUUCUAGCUCAUGAAUGGAACUCGACAAAAAUCGUCUUUCACAACGGAAUGCUCUUGAUUAUGCGAAGAUCGCUGGGGCUUAGGUUAACCGCAGUCACGACCAAAGCAAAGAAAAUAAUUCCCCGUAUGCUAAGCGGGUUUUUUUGUUGUUGUUGUUGUUGGUUUUUGGAAAGUGUUAAACCCCGCCCCGUUGUUGUACUCCUGCUGAGUGCGGAGUACGAUUGUUGUAACCUGCUGCAGAGACAGAAAGAGCUGAGUGACCUGGUUUAAGCGCUUAAGGACUUAGGCACAAAGCGCACACUUAAGUGCCUCAUUGUCCAGUGAAGUGCAGCCACUCGAGGAUGCUUAAGUUGCGGCUAUAUCGAGCAUACAGCUAUAUCGACUAUAUCGGCUUAGUGCUUAAGCCAUUCACCAAAUCGUUUAAUUGACACCGCAAAACCAACAAAAAGGAUUUCAAACUCAAGAUCAGUUGCAAGACGCAAGGUUUAACUUCGAGCCGAGGCAAACCGCAUUCAUGAAUGAAAACUACUUACAACUUGCGCUUACUACAAAACAAGGCCAAGAUUUCUCUCCGGCUUAAGCGUCUUAGAAAAUUAUGUGUUUUUUUUAGCUGCUGCCAAAAGACAUUAACAAACUGGCGAGCAGAUUAACAGAUCAACUGAAGAUCGGGGCGCGCGAUCAACUGUUUUGGCUGAGAGAUACUACUACAGAUUCGCGCUGUGAUCAGAACCGAUCAGCGAUCAGCGGAUCAACGCAAUUAAAAUGUUAUCGCUGUUUGUUGUUAACGUUGACGAGCCACAGCACAAAGACUUCCUGUGUGCUCCCAGUGAUACACUCUAUCCACAUCGAGGCAUAGGAGCCAAUGUGCUGCAGCUUGUCAGCGAGGAUA